GGCCACCUGGUGCUUAUUAUAGGCUGUGUUCUCACUACACAGAAAGGGAAGACAGAGUAAAUCUACCUAACACAUUAGCCCAAGACCUGUGCACGGGCAUAUAAAUGGAGAACCAG
This 116-nucleotide small nucleolar RNA is filed under the name Peromyscus maniculatus bairdii (prairie deer mouse). Its description in RNAcentral is "Small nucleolar RNA SNORA51 (ENSPEMG00000027892.1)". The record is from RNAcentral. Lineage: Eukaryota; Metazoa; Chordata; Mammalia; Rodentia; Cricetidae.